CCUACGGGAGGCAGCAGUGGGGAAUAUUGCACAAUGGGGGGAACCCUGAUGCAGCGACGCCGCGUGGGUGAAGGAGUAUUUCGGUAUGUAAAGCCCUAUCAGCAGGGAAGAACAAUGACGGUACCUGACUAAGAAGCACCGGCUAAAUACGUGCCAGCAGCCGCGGUAAUACGUAUGGUGCAAGCGUUAUCCGGAUUUACUGGGUGUAAAGGGAGCGCAGGCGGCGCGUUAAGCCUGGUGUGAAAGCCCGCGGCCCAACCGCGGGACUGCAUUGGGAACUGGCGCGCUGGAGUGCCGGAGGGGUAGGCGGAAUUCCUGGUGUAGCGGUGAAAGGCGUAGAUAUUAGGAGGAACACCGGUGGCGAAGGCGGCCUGCUGGACUGCAACUGACGUUGAGGCCCGAAAGCGUGGGGAGCAAACAGGAUUAGAUACCCCAGUAGUC
RNAcentral lists this ribosomal RNA (441 nucleotides) under uncultured bacterium. RNAcentral describes it as "partial 16S ribosomal RNA". It matches the Rfam family "Bacterial small subunit ribosomal RNA", at positions 338 to 795 of the family's 1533-position model. The record is from RNAcentral.